This 468-nucleotide ribosomal RNA is filed under the name uncultured bacterium. RNAcentral's name for it is "partial 16S ribosomal RNA". It matches the Rfam family "Bacterial small subunit ribosomal RNA", at positions 28 to 507 of the family's 1533-position model. The record is from RNAcentral.
GACGAACGCUGGCGGCGUGCUUAACACAUGCAAGUCGAACGGAAAGGCCCUGCUUUUGUGGGGUGCUCGAGUGGCGAACGGGUGAGUAACACGUGAGUAACCUGCCCUUGACUUUGGGAUAACUUCAGGAAACUGGGGCUAAUACCGGAUAGGAGCUCCUGCUGCAUGGUGGGGGUUGGAAAGUUUCGGCGGUUGGGGAUGUACUCGCGGCUUAUCAGCUUGUUGGUGGGGUAGUGGCUUACCAAGGCUUUGACGGGUAGCCGGCCUGAGAGGGUGGCCGGGAAGAAUGGGACUGAGAUAGGGGCAAGACGCGGACGGGAGGCAGGAGUGGGGAAUAUUGCAGAAUGGGGGGAAGGCUGAUGCAGCAGCGCCGCGGGCGGGAUGACGGCCUUCGGGUUGUAAACCGCUUUCGCGUGUGACGAAGCGUGAGUGACGGUAAUGGGUAAAGAAGCAGCGGCUAAGUACGUG